Molecule: unclassified non-coding RNA, 916 nt
Filed under: Hevea brasiliensis (rubber tree)
Lineage: Eukaryota; Viridiplantae; Streptophyta; Magnoliopsida; Malpighiales; Euphorbiaceae
Source: RNAcentral
AAAACUCUUAAAAAAUGGUAAUGAUCUACCUGAAUUAGCUCCUUUACCAUCUUGUGGACCUGAAACAAAUGGUGAACAAGAAUAUUGUUUGUUCGAAGUUCCCAUUUGUUCAGGACAUGCACUAACCUCGAUUGGAGGAUCUGAUAAUAUGACCAAAUCUCUGACAAUAAUUUCCGAUGGUAUACCUCAUGCAGAAAGUUCAGUCUUGAAAAGGGAGGUCCUGAAGAAAUCAAAGAAGUUAUCAGAAAUGGAAUCCGCUAAUGGCCAAGAUGACCAGUGUGAUCCAUCUGGUAGGAAGAGUGGAGUUCAUGAAGUAAUUACAAGCAAACAAAACUCUGGGCCAAAGAAACGUAAGAAAUGCCGUCUUAGUGACGAUGAUCUCUUAAUUUCAGCCGUAUUUAGAAACACGACAUGCAAAUCUGGCAACAAAAGGUCCUCUGGUAAAAUCAAACCUCUAAGGAAAAGGAAGAACCAGAAAAGUGGUGGUAAGUUGCUUUUACGUAGUCUUAUUAAGGGUGGAAAACACUUCCCCGAAGAAAAAUGGCCUACCUUUGCCUCAAGGACUGUGUUAUCCUGGUUAAUUCAUUCUGGGGUUGUCUCCCUAAAUGAAAUGAUCCAGUACCAGAACUUGAAGGAUGAUUCUGUGGUAAAAACCGGCUAUAUUACCGCUGAUGGAAUAUCGUGUAAUUGCUGUGACGAGGUCCUAUCCAUCUCUAGCUUCAAAAAGCAUGCCGGUUUUAAGCACAAUCGCCCCUGUUUGAAUCUUUUCAUGGAGAAUGGUAAGCCAUUCACCUUAUGUCAGCUUGAGGCUUGGUCAGAUGAAUACAAGGCACGGAGGGCAGUUUCUCAAACUUCCCAAGCUGAGGAAAGGGACCAAAAUGAUGACAGUUGCGGGCGAUGUGGUGAUGGAGGCGAA